Homo sapiens (human) is the source of this 632-nucleotide long non-coding RNA. RefSeq lists it as uncharacterized. The record is from RefSeq and is a predicted model, not a curated record. NCBI's taxonomy places the organism in Eukaryota, Metazoa, Chordata, Mammalia, Primates, Hominidae. The transcript has 2 exons.
CUCCCCCACCUCCCAGAAGGAAUCCGGUUCCCAAACUGGGAGAUGGUCCUGAUUACCACGGAGCAAUUAAGCAAGCUGCGGAGGAGAAGCCGUAGUGAAGACCCUCCCCACGCAUGCUGUGUUUGCUCAUAGGAGCAGGGGCAUGAAAGGUUUUGUAACAACAAAAAAGAAAGCUGGCUCCAAGUGUGGAAAGAAAGCAGAGGAAGGAACGGGUGGGGACCCUGUUGGCAGCUCUCCCUGAGGACGGGCCAGGAUGGGGGGUCCUGGGGUCUGGGAUUCUGACCCCAAUCUUUAGAGCAGUCCCUAAGCCCCUUGCUCGCAGGGAGUGAAGCACCAGCAGGCAUGGCUGCCAGGUCAGCAGACAGCCGACUCGGCUUCCUCGAUGGGCAGCUUGCCCCGAUGUCACGGCUGGCAUUCACCGUGGCCCAUGAAGGCGGUGGAGAGUGCCCCACAGGAGCAAUCUGCCGCCAAAGGGGACGUGACGCCUGCCAGGAAUGCCCAGCACACACCCAGUCUCGGGGCACCUGCCCUCACAGCUGGGGGGCGUCACCUAUGUGCCCCGAAUGUAGUAGAUCAUGUGGUGCCUGCACCAAGGCCGUGGCAUGAAAUUCAAUAAAAUUUCCCCAAAUUCA